This 215-nucleotide long non-coding RNA is filed under the name Phoenix dactylifera (date palm). RNAcentral's name for it is "long non-coding RNA (PDAC_LNC007347)". The record is from RNAcentral. Lineage: Eukaryota; Viridiplantae; Streptophyta; Magnoliopsida; Arecales; Arecaceae.
ACUAUAAUCCUACAGAUUACAGUCGGUUGUUUUACAAGCUCACAACCCAACUUGUUGUUUUACGAGGUCACAACGAACUCGGUCGGUUUUCCCAGGCUCACCGACUAGAACCACUCCGAUUGUUUUUCCGGGAUCACAAUCAAACCCUUACACGUUGGUUUUACCCUCGGCUCACCAACAAACCUAAAACCCCAUUGGUUUUCCCUUUGGCUCAC